RNAcentral lists this ribosomal RNA (403 nucleotides) under uncultured bacterium. Its description in RNAcentral is "partial 16S ribosomal RNA". It matches the Rfam family "Bacterial small subunit ribosomal RNA", at positions 29 to 526 of the family's 1533-position model. The record is from RNAcentral.
AUUGAACGCUGGUGGCAGGCCUAACACAUGCAAGUCGAGCGAGCGGAGGACGGGUGAGUAAUGUAUGGGAACUGCCUGAUAGAGGGGGAUAACUACUGGAAACGGUGGCUAAUACCGCAUACUAUCGGAUAACCCAUAUGGGCUUAGCUAGUAGGUGGGGUAAAGGCUCCCCUAGGCGACGAUCGCUAGCUGGUCUGCUAGGAUGAUGAGCGACACUGGAAGUGGGACACGGCCCAGACGCCUACGGAGGCAGCAGUGGGGGAUAUUGCACAAUGGGCGCAAGCCGGAUGCAGCGAUGCCGCGUGUAUGAAGAAGUCGUUGGGGUUGUAAAGUACGUUCAGCGGGGAGGCGUUACCCGGAGAAGAAGCACCGGCUAACUCCGUGCCAGCAGCCGCGGUAAUUC